This 642-nucleotide ribosomal RNA is filed under the name uncultured Acidobacteriota bacterium. RNAcentral describes it as "SSU rRNA". It matches the Rfam family "Bacterial small subunit ribosomal RNA", at positions 242 to 892 of the family's 1533-position model. The record is from RNAcentral. Lineage: Bacteria; Pseudomonadati; Acidobacteriota.
CAGCUAGUUGGUGAGGUAAUGGCUCACCAAGGCCACGAUCAGUAGCCGGUCUGAGAGGACGGUCGGCCACACUGGAACUGAGACACGGUCCAGACUCCUACGGGAGGCAGCAGUGGGGAAUUUUUCGCAAUGGGGGCAACCCUGACGAAGCAACGCCGCGUGGGUGAUGAAGUAUUUCGGUACGUAAAACCCUUUCGACGGGGAAGAAACCGCAAGGUUGACGGUACCCGUAGAAGAAGCCCCGGCUAACUCCGUGCCAGCAGCCGCGGUAAUACGGGGGGGGCAAGCGUUGUUCGGAAUUACUGGGCGUAAAGGGCGCGUAGGCGGUUCGCUAAGUUGGAUGUGAAAACUUUGGGCUUAACCCAGAGCCUGCAUCCAAAACUGGCAAACUUGAGUACUGGAGGGGAAAGCGGAAUUCCUGGUGUAGCGGUGAAAUGCGUAGAUAUCAGGAGGAACACCGGUGGCGAAGGCGGCUUUCUGGACAGUAACUGACGCUGAUGCGCGAAAGCUAGGGGAGCAAACAGGAUUAGAUACCCUGGUAGUCCUAGCCCUAAACGAUGGAUACUUGGUGUGAGGGGGAUUGAAUCCCUUCGUGCCGUAGCUAACGCAAUAAGUAUCCCGCCUGGGGAGUACGGUCGCAAG